This 337-nucleotide ribosomal RNA is filed under the name uncultured bacterium. RNAcentral describes it as "bacterial SSU rRNA". It matches the Rfam family "Bacterial small subunit ribosomal RNA", at positions 1 to 334 of the family's 1533-position model. The record is from RNAcentral.
GUGAGUAGUUCAGAGUUUGAUCCUGGCUCAGGAUGAACGCUAGCGGCAGGCCUAAUACAUGCAAGUCGAACGGUAAAUGUCCCUUCGGGGAUAUUAGAGUGGCGCACGGGUGCGUAACGCGUAUGCAACCUACCCAAUGCUGGAGGAUAGCCCGGAGAAAUUCGGAUUAACCCUCCAUGAGGAGCUGAUGGGGCAUCCCAAUGGUUUCAAAUAUUCAUAGGCGUUGGAUGGGCAUGCGUGCUAUUAGAUAGUUGGCGGGGUAACGGCCCACCAAGUCGACGAUAGCUAGGGGAUCUGAGAGGACGGUCCCCCACACUGGUACUGAGACACGGACCAG